RNAcentral lists this ribosomal RNA (672 nucleotides) under uncultured Alphaproteobacteria bacterium. Its description in RNAcentral is "bacterial SSU rRNA". It matches the Rfam family "Bacterial small subunit ribosomal RNA", at positions 28 to 746 of the family's 1533-position model. The record is from RNAcentral. Lineage: Bacteria; Pseudomonadati; Pseudomonadota; Alphaproteobacteria.
AGCGAACGCUGGCGGCAGGCCUAACACAUGCAAGUCGAACGGAUCCUUCGGGAUUAGUGGCGGACGGGUGAGUAACACGUGGGAACGUGCCCUUUGGUUCGGAACAACUCAGGGAAACUUGAGCUAAUACCGGAUGUGCCCUUCGGGGGAAAGAUUUAUCGCCAUUGGAGCGGCCCGCGUCUGAUUAGCUAGUUGGUGGGGUAAAGGCCCACCAAGGCGACGAUCAGUAGCUGGUCUGAGAGGAUGAUCAGCCACAUUGGGACUGAGACACGGCCCAAACUCCUACGGGAGGCAGCAGUGGGGAAUCUUGCGCAAUGGGCGAAAGCCUGACGCAGCCAUGCCGCGUGAAUGAUGAAGGUCUUAGGAUUGUAAAAUUCUUUCACCGGGGACGAUAAUGACGGUACCCGGAGAAGAAGCCCCGGCUAACUUCGUGCCAGCAGCCGCGGUAAUACGAAGGGGGCUAGCGUUGCUCGGAAUUACUGGGCGUAAAGGGAGCGUAGGCGGACUGUUAAGUUAGAGGUGAAAGCCCAGGGCUCAACCUUGGAAUUGCCUUUGAUACUGGCAGUCUUGAGUACGGAAGAGGUAUGUGGAACUCCGAGUGUAGAGGUGAAAUUCGUAGAUAUUCGGAAGAACACCAGUGGCGAAGGCGACAUACUGGUCCGUUACUGACGC